AUCUAACUGACAAGUCCCAAAUAGCACGAAACGAGCGUCUUGGAU
RNAcentral lists this non-coding RNA (45 nucleotides) under Schistosoma mattheei. Lineage: Eukaryota; Metazoa; Platyhelminthes; Trematoda; Strigeidida; Schistosomatidae. The record is from RNAcentral.